Molecule: long non-coding RNA, 737 nt
Filed under: Phasianus colchicus (ring-necked pheasant)
Lineage: Eukaryota; Metazoa; Chordata; Aves; Galliformes; Phasianidae
Description: lncRNA (ENSPCLG00000020311.1)
Source: RNAcentral
UCGUGGGGGGGCUUGGGGGGGGGAAUUGGGGGGUCCUGGGGGGAGAUUUGGGGGUAUGUGGGGUCCCUGUGUGGGUCCCAGUGUGGGUCUGGGGUCUCCAUACGGGUCUGGGGUCCCCAUGUGUGUCCCAGUGUGGGUCUGGGGUCCAUGGGGGGGUGAUUGGGGUCCCCUUGUGGGUGUGGGGUCCCCAUGUGGGUCCCAGUGUGGGUCUGGGGUCCCCAUGUGGGUCUGGGAUCCCCCUGAGGGUCCCACUGUGGGUCUGGGGUCCCCAUGUGGGUCUGGGGUCCCGCUGAGGGUCCCUCUGUGGGUCUGGGGUCCCCAUGUGGGUCCCCAUGUGGGUCCCCAUGUGGGUCUGGGGUCCCACUGAGGGUCCCUCUGUGGGUCUGGGGUCCCCAUGUGGGUCCCGCUGUGGGUCUGGGGUCCCGCUGUGGGUCUGGGGUCCCGCUGAGUGUCCCCAUGUGGGUCUGGGGUCCCCAUGUGGGUCUGGGGUCCCUUUGUGGGUCUGGGGUCCCGCUGAGGGUCCCUGCCCCCAUUUCCCGCAGAGGGCGCGGAGGCGGUGAAGCAGAAGGAUUUGGGGGACGGGGUCUUCGCCUGCGAGUUCGUCCCCAGCGCCCCCGGCCCCCACAGCGUCAGCGUCACCUAUGGGGGGCAGCCCAUCCCCCGCAGGUGGGACCGCAGCCCCGCCCCACACAUCCUGCCCCAUAGAUCCCUGCCCCACACAUCGUGCCCCAUAGAUC